GAGCGCGAUUAACAAGCCGGUUAAUAUUGAAGAGUGCAUCGAGAAAGCAAAAAAUUUCGAAUUGACUAUGGAUGAUGAUCACUCGGAGCUUAACGGUAAAUAGAGUUUACAAGUCGGUGGAAGGAAUAUAUAUGGUUGGCCGCACUUUUGCUCCAUCCAUCAAAUAUCACGAAAGGACUUGAAGUCUAGAAAUAUUUCCAUUUUUAUAUUUCACUGUCAUUUCGGUUAAUGUUCGAUGAUUAUGUGUACUUUUUUUUCCCCCUUUGGUGGUGCUUUCAAUGUGCUUUUGAUGAUCAUAUGGAGAUGCAUUGAAUUGGUCUUGAGUUUUAAAGCUUGGACCGUGGGCACUCGGAGUCUUGGACAUGAAUUGUUAUUG
Rhodamnia argentea is the source of this 376-nucleotide long non-coding RNA. RefSeq lists it as uncharacterized. The transcript is spliced from 3 exons. NCBI's taxonomy places the organism in Eukaryota, Viridiplantae, Streptophyta, Magnoliopsida, Myrtales, Myrtaceae. The record is from RefSeq and is a predicted model, not a curated record.